This 331-nucleotide unclassified non-coding RNA is filed under the name uncultured Acaulospora. RNAcentral describes it as "sequence contains ITS1". The stretch from base 1 to 106 matches the Rfam family "5.8S ribosomal RNA", at positions 50 to 154 of the family's 154-position model. Lineage: Eukaryota; Fungi; Glomeromycota; Glomeromycetes; Diversisporales; Acaulosporaceae. The record is from RNAcentral.
GAAAUGCGAUAAGUAAUGUGAAUUGCAGAAUUCCGCGAGUCAUCAGAUCUUUGAACGCAAGUGGCGCUGGGUUAACCAAUACCCCAGCAUGUUUGUUGCAGUGUGUUAGGAAUCAUAAAUCAUAAUGCGAUUGAAUUUUAACAAAAAAUUCUCUCGUUAAACAUGAAAGCGCUGAAUUCGUUUCAGUGCCAACCGAAGUAGUCACUUCUUCUUUCUUAGAAAGUGAUUUCGGUUGUGCUAUAACUGAAGAUUUCACUUAAAGCGUUUUUUUAUAAAUUUAAAUUUCUCCAAUCAAUACCUGAAAUCAAGCAAGAUCACCCGCUGAACUUAA